GCCCCUAUAGUUUAGUGGAUCAGAAUAUGAGGUUGCGGACCUUAAGACCUGGGUUCGAUUCCCAGUAGGGGCA
This 73-nucleotide transfer RNA is filed under the name Candidatus Woesearchaeota archaeon. Its description in RNAcentral is "tRNA-Arg". It matches the Rfam family "tRNA". From Rfam's summary of the family: Transfer RNA (tRNA) molecules are approximately 80 nucleotides in length. Their secondary structure includes four short double-helical elements and three loops (D, anti-codon, and T loops). Further hydrogen bonds mediate the characteristic L-shaped molecular structure. tRNAs have two regions of fundamental functional importance: the anti-codon, which is responsible for specific mRNA codon recognition, and the 3' end, to which the tRNAs corresponding amino acid is attached (by aminoacyl-tRNA synthetases). tRNAs cope with the degeneracy of the genetic code in two manners: having more than one tRNA (with a specific anti-codon) for a particular amino acid; and 'wobble' base-pairing, i.e. permitting non-standard base-pairing at the 3rd anti-codon position. The record is from RNAcentral. Lineage: Archaea; Nanobdellati; Candidatus Woesearchaeota.